This 279-nucleotide ribosomal RNA is filed under the name uncultured Geobacillus sp. RNAcentral describes it as "partial 16S ribosomal RNA". It matches the Rfam family "Bacterial small subunit ribosomal RNA", at positions 1102 to 1382 of the family's 1533-position model. Lineage: Bacteria; Bacillati; Bacillota; Bacilli; Caryophanales; Anoxybacillaceae. The record is from RNAcentral.
CCCUCGCCUCUAGUUGCCAGCAUCGGUUGGGCACUCUAGAGGGGACUGCCGGCGACAAGUCGGAGGAAGGUGGGGAUGACGUCAAAUCAUCAUGCCCCUUAUGACCUGGGCUACACACGUGCUACAAUGGGCGGUACAAAGGGCUGCGAACCCGCGAGGGGGAGCGAAUCCCAAAAAGCCGCUCUCAGUUCGGAUUGCAGGCUGCAACUCGCCUGCAUGAAGCCGGAAUCGCUAGUAAUCGCGGAUCAGCAUGCCGCGGUGAAUACGUUCCCGGGCCUU